RNAcentral lists this ribosomal RNA (756 nucleotides) under uncultured Sebacina. Its description in RNAcentral is "partial 28S ribosomal RNA". It matches the Rfam family "Eukaryotic large subunit ribosomal RNA", at positions 216 to 962 of the family's 3401-position model. The record is from RNAcentral. Lineage: Eukaryota; Fungi; Basidiomycota; Agaricomycetes; Sebacinales; Sebacinaceae.
GAAUCCCGUAUAUGGCACGGACUCCCGUUGCUCUGUGAUACACUCUCGACGGGUCGAGUUGUUUGGGAAUGCAGCUCUAAAUGGGUGGUAAAUGCCAUCUAAAGCUAAAUAUUGGCGAGAGACCGAUAGCGAACAAGUACCGUGAGGGAAAGAUGAAAAGCACUUUGGAAAGAGAGUGAAACAGUACGUGAAAUUGUUGAAAGGGAAACGCUUGAAGUCAGUCGCGCCGUUCGGGAUUCAGCCUUGCUUCUGCUCGGUUUACUUCCCGCUGGGUGGGUCAACAUCAGUUUCGGUCGGAGGAGAAAGACUUGGGGAAGGUGGCAGCAUUCGUGCUGUGUUAUAGCCCCGUGUUGUAUACUUCGACUGGGACUGAGGACCGCAGCACGCCUCUGGCCGGGGUUCGCCCACGUACGUGCUUAGGAUGUUGGCAUAAUGGCUUUAAGCGACCCGUCUUGAAACACGGACCAAGGAGUCUAACAUGUGCGCGAGUGUUUGGGUGUUAAACUCGGACGCGAAAUGAAAGUGAAAAGUUGGGAACACGUCUGUGUGCACCGACGCCCGGAGCUGACCUUCUGUGACGCAUCUGCGGUAGAGCGUAUAUGUUGGGACCCGAAAGAUGGUGAACUAUGCCUGGAUAGGGUGAAGCCAGAGGAAACUCUGGUGGAGGCUCGUAGCGAUUCUGACGUGCAAAUCGAUCGUCAAAUUUGGGUAUAGGGGCGAAAGACUAAUCGAACCAUCUAGUAGCUGGUUCCUGCC